AGUGUUUACUUCGCCUCCACUUCUGUUCCUCCCCGCCCUGGUGCUGCUCCAGGUCACAUACUCUUCCUGAGCCGGCUUCAGCCUCUCCGCGCAGAAGUCUCCCGGAGCCAUGGCCUAGUAUUCUUAUGUGAAGUCUACCAAGCUUGUGCUCAAGGGAACCGAGGUGAAGAGCUGGGUCCUGCAGCUCCGGCGGGAGCCUCCUCAGUUCUUUUCGGACGCACUCCACCCCCGCGAAUCCGGUGGAAGCCGUGAUGCGGAGAGCCGGCUUCGUGGCCUCCCAGGCUUCGCUCUGACCCUGUCUGGGCUGGAUGGAGGCCGGACCGCCCUUCCUGGCGCCUGUGCAGAGAGGGGCAGCCUCCUGCGCGGACGACCCUGGAAACAGGAUAGACGGGCGGGUGACCCGUGACCCCGUACCCACGAGUUUGGGUCCCUUGAGGCAUCUCUCCAGGCCUCUGCCUGAUUUGCCUGAGGUUGACUGUACAUGCAAAUAUUGAGCUUUCCUCCUGGCCUCCGUGAUAAACAGAAGUUUUGAUAUUGUUAGGCGAGAUGGAAAGAAAGUAUCAAGGAGUGAGCUGAAGCCACUGCCCUUGAGAACCCUCUCGAGGAGUCUGGCCUCAUGAAGAUGCCAGAAUAAAUGGCAGUAAGAAGAAAAAGAGCAAAGAUAAGAAGAGAAAAAGAGAAGAUGAAGAAACCCAGCUUGAUAUGUUGAGGAACGCAGCUGCUCACCAGCAACGGAACAAAGCUGGACGGAGAAUGACUUUGAAGAGCUGAGAGAAGGCUUCAGACGAUCAAAUUACUCUGAGCUACGGGAGGACAUUCAAACCAAAGGCAAAGAAGUUGAAAACUUUGAAAAAAAUAAAUGUACAUUAAUUAACGUGGAAUCUGGUGAACAGUAACAAACUUUGGUGAAAUUUCAGGAACCAUAGCCAUUGAAGUGGAUGAGGGAACCUAUAUACAUGCACUCAACAAUGGUCUUUUUACCCUGGGAGCUCCACACAAAGAAGAAUCGCCCUGAAACCUGGCUAUGGAAAAUAUCUUAGUAUAAAUUCAGAUGAACUUGUUGUUGGCGUUCAGAUGCAAUUGGACCAAGAGAACAAUGGGAACCAGUCUUUCAAAAUGGUGCCUGUGCAGCAGUAUUCACUGUGAUAGGAAGUGAGAAGCAGUCUGAGUGUUCAUUGCUGAGGGAAUCAAGGGCAAAAUAUCAUGGAUGCACUCAUGGACAAAUAAGCAGCAGUUUGAAGCAACACCCUAGAUGGAUGUACAGCCAUCAAGAGGAUCUUAAAGUGUGGUCUUUAGUGGAAAAAAAGCAGAAGCAAUGUAUGGGAGACUGAGUAAUUACAUAUGAGCUCACAUCACUAUCUCUUCCACCACUGUCAUCCAUCAUGACUGAUCUGGGAGAUGAAACAGCACAGAUCUAAAGGACGUGGUAAGAAUCGAGAUCACCAGAGAUCAGUAGAUACUUGCAUACUUGGAGGAUUAACACUGUCUGGAUUCCAACGAUCAGCUGAGUAUGUUCAAGAUAAAGCUAUAGUACAUAUUUUAGAUUGGGAAUUGGCAACAAAUAGCUGUAGACUACCUUCUGAGGAAUAAGUGUUUUCACAUGUGUGGGUGUCAUUUCUAAUCCCAGCAUCACAGUCAGGUCCAGAUACCUGUUUCUGAUCUUUGGUCCUAUGCCUAAUCUCCUCCAAGAGUCCUUCCCUGGAUCUCCUAUCUAAGCAAGAUGCUCGAUGCCCACCAAUGAGUACUGCACCAAGUUCAUUUCCACUAGCCUGUGUUACAAUUUGUGUUUCUGUAUGUUUCCCUUACUUGUUAUUCUUUGUCUUCCCCAUUAGACUGAAAGCACCGCCACGGGGACCGUGUCUAGGACAUAGGAGGUCCUUAAUAAAUAUUUCUUGAGUGGAUAAAUGGUGAACCAUAGGGGUGGCAUAAGAGCAAAUAGAGGGUAGAUGAGCACUAAUCCAUUCACCACCCUGUUUAUGGGUGGUGGACCUUGGAUGGCCUUUUUCAUAGUCAAAACAUACUUUUUAGAUCUGCCUUCUUGGGAUGUAUUCAAGGAUGCUAGCCGUGUUUGAGACUGUAAAUAUGUCUAGUGAAUAGGGCUUCAGGCUGUGUGUGUUUGCCUUGUUUUGCACAGAAUUCGGCACAGCCCCAAGCACAGAUGGGUGCUUCAUAAAUAUUGUUGAAGGAUGAUGACACAAAGGAUUAUUUAAUACCUCUGACCUCAGGCCACAAACAUACUUUCAAUGUGUUUUACUUCUGAAAUCAUUUGAACCAGAAUGUUUCAGCAACACAGAUUCAUCUGCAACCACAAAUCAGACACAUUUAGAAUGACAAAGCCCCAAAAGAAUGCCAUUUUCAAGGCUGAAACUGUAUUAUUCUGGGCUAAAUGGAAUCCUUGUUUUAGUGACACUGUAAGAGUAGAAAUUAAAGACACUGAAAAUCUUCCCUUGGGGAACCACAAUUAUCUGUGAACAAUGAAAGUUUGUCUGAAUAAUUCAUCAGCCUCAAGGGUACAGGCCUCCCCUUAUUCUGGAAUCCCAGGAGUUUAGGCAAGUGUGUCAUUUAAUGGGUCUCAACUGUGUCCUCAGUUGUUAUUAUUCCAGGGCCUGGCAUUUAUGGGCACAUUCCUAUAAUUUUACUAAUUAAAAAAAAAUAAGCUAUAUGGGAAACCACUGUCAAGGUCAAAAUUUUGAAGCUGCAUUGAUUUUACCUAGGAAGAAAGAAGCUUAUAAAGUGUCCAUCAUGAGAAUCCACCUGGGACCUACACAACAGAUCAAAUACCCAGAACAAAUCACCACGUCAGAGCCCCACAGAAUUCUGAUUCCCAACCAACAAGCAUGAGUAAUCCUUUUAAAUGGUCACUUACAUAUCAGAACAGGUCCUUUGUGAAAUUUCUAAGCAAGGCCUCUGGUUUCUGACUGAAACAGAGAUUUAUUGAGAAGGAGGGGUAAAGUGAAAUCAAGAACUGCUGGGAAAUUUCCACAAGAAACAAGGACAAAUGGUUUUUGUUGUCAGAGUAAAACCAGCCUCCCCUAGCCAUGGUUUGGAAAGUUAUUUGCUAGCCCACAGGGGACAAUAUUCUCAACUGGUUUAUCAGGGACCCUUUUGAUCCAAUUAUAGUUAUUGGGCAGAUACAGUAGUACCCUAUUAUCAGAAGACCUAGUUUCAAAUCCUGAGUCAACUUCUAAUUCACUGUGUGACCUUGUACAAGUCACUUAAGCUCUCUGAUCAUUGGUUCAACAUCUUUAAUAUGAGGAGAGUAAUGCCUAUCUCAAUUACCUCAUAAAAUUAUUGCAAAGAUCAAGUGAGUUGAUAUGUUACAAAUUAUUUCUAAAUUAUAAGAUUCUGUAUAAGUGGAAGGGUUAAAUAUACUCCCAUAUUAUUAAAUACCCUACGUAUCACUCAGGAUUCUAUAUGACUCUGAGUUCUCAAUUUCUAGAAAUGGUCCCAUUUUUACUUUGUUCCCUACAAUUCUACGGAGUCUUUUUUUUUUUUAAAGGAAGGGUGUAGGCAAAGGUAAAUGGGAGAAAACAUGGAAUCACAUACCACUCUUUGGUGCUGCUAGGCAAGAAUUUUAAACUGAGUUUAGGUCACCAUCGUGGACUUAAGGUCCAUAUCACCUCAGGGAGACAAGUAGAGUGGGAGGCAUCCAAAAGGUAGGUGAUUCUUCUCCCCUCUAGUGAAGAAUACAAGGUCAAUUUACAAAAAAGCACCAGCAGCAAAUAAUUGGAAAAUUAAAUUCAUAAAACAUUUAUAAUAGCGUCAAAAAAAAGAAAAUACUCAGAAAUAAAUUUGACAAAAAUUGUAUAAGAUCUCUACAUUAAAAAUUAUGAAAUACAUGUAAGAGAAAUUAAAGAAAACCUAAAUAGAGAGAUAUACCACAUUCAUGGAUUGGAAGAUUCAAGAUUAUUAAAAUACUAUUCUCCCCAAAUGGCUCUAUAGAUUCAACAUAAUCCCAAUCAAAAUCCCAGUAGGCUUUGGUAGAAAUUGAGAUGUUGGUUCUAAAAUGAAAUAAAAUGCAGAGGACCUAGAAUAUAUAAUUUCCCUUUAAUUUGACAAAGAAGAAAAACAUGUUGGGAAGCUCACCUAAUUUCAGUGUAAUAUUUACAUACGAAUCAACAAAUGGAUCAGUGGUAUAGAAUAGAGAAUCCUGAAAUAGAUCUACAUAUAUAUGGCCAACAGAUUUUUAAUAAUGGUGCCAAGGCUAUUCAGGGGAAAGAAAAUUCUUUUUUAAAAAUGGGAUUGGAAAAACUGGAUAAGGGAAAUAAGUGAACCUCGACCCCUACCUUAUACCGUGCUCAAAAAUUAAUUCAAAAUCAUUCUAGACAUAAAUGUAAAAGUUGAAACUGCAAUGACUCUAGAAGAAAAUAUAGAGAAAAUAUCUCUCUGACCUUGGAGGAAGCAAAAAUUUCUUGUAGUUGACAAAGACAUAUAUAAUAAUCAUAUAAUCCAUUAAUUAUAAGAAAAAUAAACUAGACUUCAUCAAAAUUUAAAACUUCUGCUCAUCAAAAGAUACUAAUAAGAUUAAAAGUAGCCAGGUUCAGUGGCUCAUGCCCAUAAUCCCAGCACUUUGGGAGGCUGAAGCAGGGGGAUCACUUGAGGCCAGGAGUUUGAGACCAGCCUAGGCAACAUAGCAAGAUCUCAUUUCUACAAAAAAUGUUUUUAAAAUUAACUGGGUAUGAUGGCGCAUGUGUAGUCCUAGCUACUCAGGAGGCUGAGUUGGGAGGAUUGCUUGAGCCCAGCAGUUGAAGGUUACAGUGAACUAUGAUCGUACCACUGCACUCCAGCCUGGGCAACAGAGUGAGACCCUUUCUCUAAAAUAAACAAAUAAAUAAUUUUUAUGUCAUCUGAAACUAAGAUCAUACUGAAAUUUUCCCUCAGUGUCUCCAGAAUGUCUUUUUUGAAUGGUUUGCCCAAUGUAGUAUCUCAUUUAGAACCACGUGUUAUGGCCCUUCAGUAUUUUUUUGUUGUUGUUGUUGUUGAGACAGAGUUUCACUCUUGUUCUCUUGUUGCCCAGGCUGGAGUGCAAUGGCAUGGUAUCGGCUCACUGCAACCUCUGUCUCCUGGGUUCAAGCGAUUUUCCUGCCUCAGCCUCCCAAGUAGCUGGGAUUACAGGCAUGCGUCAUCAUACCUAGCUAAUUUGUCCCAUAGAAUCUCAUCUUCUGGAUUUUGUGGCUAUUUUUUCAUGGUGUUGAUUCAUUCAUAAGGUAAAAUUUAUAUACAGUGAAAUGCAUUUUAUGGGUACAAUUCAAUGAGUUUUGAAAAGUGUGCACAUCCAUGUAACCACCACCCAGAUUAAGACACAGAACAUUCCCGUCACCUCAGAAUGUUUCCCGGUGCCUUCUUCCUACCCCUCAUACAGUAACAUUGUAAUAAUUUCUAUUGCCACAUAUAUGUUUACCUGUUCUGAAACUUCACAGAAAUGGAAUUAUAUAUUAUGUAUUUGUUUGUUACUGGCUUUUUAUCAUUUAAUUUUUUUUUAUUCAUCCACACCCACUGCAUGUGUCAGUAUUUCAUUCCUUCUUGUUAUUGUGUAGUAUACGAAUAUAUAAAUAUAUCACUAUUUUUGCAAUCUCCUGUUGAUGGACAUUUGUAUUGUUUCCAGUUAUUAGCUAUUAUGAAUCAUGCAACUAUGUAUAUUAUUAUACAGGUCUUUUGUGGACACAUCUCCAUUAUUUUUGGGUAAAUAUUUAGGAAUGGAAUGUUGGUCAGCUGUAGGCUCCAUUUUACAAGAAACUGCCAAACUGUCUUCCAUUCUACACUUUUGUUUGCAAUGUAUGAAAGUUCUGGUUGCUUCCUAUCCUAAUCAACAUUUGGUGUGGGACUACAGGAACAUGCCACUACACCUGAUUGAUUAAAGAAAAUUUUUUGUAGAGACAGGGUUUUGCUCUAUUGCCCAGGCUGGUCUUGAAUUCCUGGCCUCAAGUGAUCCUCCCACCUCAGCCACUCAAAGCUCUAGGAUUACAGGUGUGAGUCGCCACGACCGGCCAAAAUUUAUUAAUUGGUAGUUGGCAAUUGUUGAUGGAAAAGAAAAAGCAGGUUACAAGCAAUGUACUUUUUGAUGUCUUUGGUAUUAUCACAGGCAAAUAAAUUAUAUAUGUAUAUAUAUUAUGUAUAUUAUAUUAUGUAUUUUAAUUAUAUGUGUAUAACGUAUAUGUAUAGAAAGAGAUACAGUAAGGAAUAUAAGUUUUUCUAUUAACAUAGGUAACCCAAGGUAGGGGAUAAGAUGUUUACAUUCUCUUAUUUGUGUUUUCUAACUUUCCACCAGGCACAUACACUGUUUCUAUAAUAACACGUGCUGGUUGAAAAUGUCAGACUCUGAAAUUCAAUGUUUUAUAAUAUAGGGUGAUAGACAAGAGGGAUGGAUAGAGCAAGAAGAAUGAAACCUAAUAGGGUUAGUUAGAGCCCUACUGAGUGAAUCUCUUGUUGGGUAUUUUCCAUGCACUGUCUCGUUUCAUUCUUACAAUAAACCUAUGAAGUAUCAUUUUUCUAUUUGUACAGCGCUAAUAAGGCUAUAAGUUAGCAUUUGAACAUAAUAUAAUCUGACCUCAAAACCCAUGCUUUUUUUCCCUCACUUAUACAUACAUACUUUCAGGUUAAUAAGUUCUGUUGCUAAACAUUUAUGUAGUAUUUACUAUGUACCAGGCACCAUGUUAAAUGUUCUACAUGAAGCACCUCAUUUGUACUUCAUGACAAUCCAUAUAAAGAUACCACUAUUAUUAUCCACAUUUUACAGAUAAGAAAACUGAGGCACAGAGACUAAAUAAAUCUAAAUUCCCACAGCUAGUAAGUGGCAGAGCCAAGAAUUAAGCUCAGGCCACCUGAUUCUCCAGCUUCUACCCAAUACACUAUACCGUGUUCCCAUGUUUUCAACACAUUCCCAAAUGGAGCAGGGGAGAAUAAGCGCCAGCAACCAACAAAGGAGACAUCGACGCCAAAGGUCUACCAUAAAGUUUUUCACGGUGACAUCCUUGCUUACCUGUCCAGGGCCAUGCUGGUUGGCAUACUCCUCCCAAACCCGCGGACCCCCAUCUGAUGGAAAUAUGGAAUGCAAGAGAGGUUGGCAGCAAUGAUGGCCAGGGAGUCAGAAGGGCUCACAAAGAAGCCAUUUUGGCCUAGGAUCAUAUAACGGUCCUGUAGGAAGGAAUGCGUAAAAAUGAUCGGACAGAAGCAUCUGCUAGCAGCCCAUUCCCAUAAUCAUCACAAUCCACUUUACUGCCAUCUUAUAUUUAACAAUCUAACAACUUGAAUGAGGCCAAAGAGAACAUGGGAAACAUUCUUCAAAAUCUCUGAGUACCAAGGGCCCAGAUUCUUGACACACCAGGAAUAUGUUCCACCUGUUGAAAUGUGGCUCAAGCUUUAGAAGCCCCCAAAUACCUAAUUCUUUCUUUCUCCCAAACAUAAUGGAGAACACUGCUUCUUGCAGAAAUAGCUGAUUUCUUAACUUGGUGCUUUCAACAACACCAGCCAUAAAUAAAGAUUUAUUGAAUAAUAUAUAUUUUUAAA
Molecule: long non-coding RNA, 7506 nt
Filed under: Homo sapiens (human)
Lineage: Eukaryota; Metazoa; Chordata; Mammalia; Primates; Hominidae
Description: LHRI_LNC1508.10
Source: RNAcentral